Cynoglossus semilaevis (tongue sole) is the source of this 2185-nucleotide long non-coding RNA. RefSeq lists it as uncharacterized. NCBI's taxonomy places the organism in Eukaryota, Metazoa, Chordata, Actinopteri, Pleuronectiformes, Cynoglossidae. The record is from RefSeq and is a predicted model, not a curated record. The transcript has 3 exons.
AUUACAGCUCGCUCUGCUAACCGGUAGGCGAAUUAUUCGCAGCAGGGAUAAAAAAAAUAGACACGUAGUGAGUGAUAAGCUCCAGCAGAAGGCAGCAGUGCACCAUAAUGGAAGUCAACUGGCCUAAAAUACAAAGACAGCCGACCAAAUCCGCCAGGUGCUGUUGACCACAGCCACUCACUGACUGGCUCCUCUGUACCAGCCAUCAGAAGGUUCUCUAAAAUGGAUCAAAAGGGAGACGGACCUCACAAUGGUAGAAAUCGGCCAUGUUGGUACAUUUUACCCCGAGGAGAUUUGCCGCCGGCUAAUCAGUUGACCAAUCGGCACAUUGCUAUUCUGGACAACUUUGCACAAUUGGGAAGGAACGAAGAGGACAUUCGGGACAUUAUGAUGACUUUGCAAUCGGCACACCAGCAAAGGAUGCAUGUUCUACGACAAAUCCGCGACCUUCAGGAAAUGCGAAGGCGAGGCUACGACAACCCCUUAAGAGACAUGGAUUCAGUCAUGUAGAGGCUGAGGAAGGACCUCCCGCACGCUGUACGUUUGUUCAAAUGUUAGACGAUAGAUUGCUCCCAAAUUAUUUAGCCUUGUGAGCAUACAGUUACCACCUAAGGGCAUUUAACAAGGUGUGUCAAACGAUCUGAGGUACUGCGUUUACCUGAUGAAUGACAGAGUGAUGGUUUAAAAGCCCACGGCUGCUCUGCUAAAACUCCUCGUUAACUGUGGUUAGUUGUUAUCAAAUAGAAGAGUGGUCACGUGUGUGCGCACAACACGUAUGCCGCAAGAAAGACAGUCAGAGUCGAGGGAAACUGACGCAGAUCGAUACGAGGCUUUGUGUUAACGUGACAGCUAUACAUACCAAUGGACCAAAGUGACUAGAAAUAAAGUGAAUUACUACUGGUUCUGAGAGUCAAGAGGUAGCUUUUGUUACAUCAUGAAACAAAUCUUUAAACUAAUAGUUUCAUCUAGGGGUGCAUGGCCGAUCGAUAGCCGCCGAUUUCCUUAAUUGUGCGGGAUCUGCGAUCGGGAGAUUGUUUCAUAAUUACUUGUGACGAGAAUAAAAUAUCCUGGCUGCAGAUAUUUGUGUAUGAACUGAAAAAAAUCGGAAUCUGCAAAAAUCGGUAUUGGCAAGUCACAACAGCCACAAAAUCAGAAUCAGUCCAAAAAAUGCAAUUAGUGCAUCCUUUAGUCGUAUCCAAUAAAAAUAAGCAUCGGCCCAUAAUGUUUUAUCACAACAACUGUUGAUUAUUGAUACACCGUCAAGAAUAAUAAAAAAUUCUAACAGUUGAUAAUGUAACCAAGUUGAUGACUUGAUCAAUAAAUGAAGCAACGUUCUGCAGACAGCUACUACGGCAGUGGUUCUAAACCUGGGUUCGAUGGAACCCCAGGAGUUCGGUGAGUCAGUCUCAGGGGUUCGGUGGAACAAGACACACACCCAACUCAUAUGAUUCGUGAUGACACGCCCCCCACUUGGCCAUCACCAAGGAUUCAGUGAAUGCGCAUAUGAAACUGGUGAGGUUCAGUACCUCCACCAUUUAAGAACCACUGUACUAGGGCCUAAUGCCACAUGUCUACAGCCCAACAUAAAGACCCUGUCAGAGCGGGACCAAUCCACCACCCAACCCAAAAUUUCAAGAAGGGUAAAAACGUCUUUUGAAAAUAACAAAUUUCUAAGUCAUUUAAAAUGUCACCACGAUAACAAGGCAGCACCGGGUGAGAAUGAAGCAGCAACAGCAGCAGUAACAGAACAACACCAUCUCCACCACCUCUAAUGACAUUAAACACGUUAGCUCCAGUGUAAUUUGCCUUCUAAUGGUCGUCUGACUCUGUCAGAUAUAUUACAAUGAAGUAUUUAACCAGAAAUUACCUGAACAAUUUGAAUAUCCCUGUGUUUAGCCUGACUUUCUGUGUCUUUCAUUAGUUAAUACGUGAGAUCGUCUGUGACAGAACCGUCCGGUGAUCAGCGCCGCUACACUGUGAACAAAUGAACAAUCUCAGCUCAUCAGCGGCUCUGGUGCAAAAACACAGACAAUAUGGUGUUUGUGCAGAAGUGUGACAAGACAUCAUUGAAAGUUAUGUGCUCAGGUGACCCUAAAAUCUCAACCUCCCUCAGGUAACUUUUUUUUUAAACACUAAACACCCAGAACGAAGCAACUGACCCCAAUAAGAAUUAUAAGCCACAUUU